CCGUGGCGUGGCCUCCGUUCUAAUUCUCCGAAGGCAGAGGCCACAGGUUCGAAUCCUGUCGGGUGCGCCA
This 70-nucleotide transfer RNA is filed under the name Croceicoccus naphthovorans. Its description in RNAcentral is "tRNA-OTHER". The record is from RNAcentral. Lineage: Bacteria; Pseudomonadati; Pseudomonadota; Alphaproteobacteria; Sphingomonadales; Erythrobacteraceae.